RNAcentral lists this small RNA (534 nucleotides) under Pan troglodytes (chimpanzee). Its description in RNAcentral is "processed transcript". The record is from RNAcentral. Lineage: Eukaryota; Metazoa; Chordata; Mammalia; Primates; Hominidae.
UUGUACCCUGUGUAAUGUUUGUGCUGAAGGAGAUGCUUCCCAGCUACCAUAAGUGGCGCUACAACUCUCAUGGAGUGAGGGAACAGAUUGGUUGCCUGAUCUUGGAGCUGAUUCAUGCAAUACUGAACCUGUGCCACGAGACAGACCUGCACAGCAGUCAUACUCCCAGCCUGCAGUCUCUCUGCAUCUGCAGCCUGGCAUACACAGAAGCAGGACAGACAGUUAUCAAUAUCAUGGGCAUUGGCGUGGACACCAUUGACAUGGUGAUGGCUGCUCAGCCUCGAAGUGAUGGGGCAGAGGGCCAGGGGCAGGGCCAGCUGCUGAUCAAGACAGUGAAACUGGCAUUCUCCGUCACCAACAAUGUUAUUCGGCUGAAACCUCCUUCUAAUGUGGUGUCUCCCCUGGAACAGGCUCUCUCACAACAUGCCAAAUACAUCUACCACAAACAUGACCCUGCUUUGCCACGUCUUGCCAUUCAGCUGCUGAAACGUCUGGCCACGGUGGCCCCAAUGUCAGUGUAUGCUUGUCUGGGCA